Non-coding RNA from Pelobates cultripes (western spadefoot toad), 251 nucleotides. Lineage: Eukaryota; Metazoa; Chordata; Amphibia; Anura; Pelobatidae. The record is from the annotation of a GenBank genome assembly.
GGAAGGCUUAUAAAGCAUUGCCCCACCCUGCAAUUAGGCUAAGAACACUCUGAUUGGCUGGUUUAAGCCAAUCAGAGUGCUCUUUGUUAUUUUACACAGUGUGGGAAAAUUCCAAAGAACUUUCCCAUGCUGUGUAAUUUGACUCAUAACACUCUGGUGGGCUUGGAAUCUAACCAAUCAGAAUAACUAGGACCAGAUAAAAAUAGAAUAUAAUGCUAAAAUAAUGUAUAUUUAAAACGUAAUGUUUAAUC